CCCUUAGAUGUUCUGGGCUGCACGCGCGCUACACUGACGCACGCAACAGGUGCCUGCUCCGAGAGGACUGGGUAAUCAUUUGAGUGUGCGUCGUGAUGGGGAUAGAAUAUUGUAAUUAUUACUCUUCAACGAGGAAUUCCUAGUAAGCGCCAGUCAGCAGCUUGCGCUGAUUACGUCCCUGCCCUUUGUACACACCGCCCGUCGCACCUACCGAUUGGAUGGUCCGGUGAAGCCUCGGGAUUGUGGUUCUUGCCGCUUUAUUGUGGCGUGACCGCGAGAACUUGUCUAAACCUUAUCAUCUAGAGGAAGGUGAAGUCGUAACA
Molecule: ribosomal RNA, 323 nt
Filed under: uncultured eukaryote
Lineage: Eukaryota
Description: partial 18S ribosomal RNA
Rfam family: Eukaryotic small subunit ribosomal RNA
Source: RNAcentral